Molecule: ribosomal RNA, 256 nt
Filed under: Synodus intermedius (sand diver)
Lineage: Eukaryota; Metazoa; Chordata; Actinopteri; Aulopiformes; Synodontidae
Description: partial 28S ribosomal RNA
Rfam family: Eukaryotic large subunit ribosomal RNA
Source: RNAcentral
UUUAUCUGGUAAAGCGAAUGAUUAGAGGUCUUGGGGCCGAAACGAUCUCAACCUAUUCUCAAACUUUAAAUGGGUAAGAAGCCCGGCUCGCUGGCUUGGAGCCGGGCGUGGAAUGCGAGCGCCCAGUGGGCCACUUUUGGUAAGCAGAACUGGCGCUGCGGGAUGAACCGAACGCCGGGUUAAGGCGCCCGAUGCCGACGCUCAUCAGACCCCAGAAAAGGUGUUGGUUGAUAUAGANAGCAGGACGGUGGCCAUG